UACGAAGGGGCUAGCGUUGUUCGGAAUCACUGGGCGUAAAGCGCACGUAGGCGGAUCUUUAAGUCAGAGGUGAAAUCCCAAGGCUCAACCUUGGAACUGACCUUUGGAUACUGGGGAUCUUGAGUCCGGGAGAGGUGAGUGGAACUGGCGAGUGUAGGAGGUGAAAUUCGUAGAUAUUCGCAAGAACACCAGUGGCGAAGGCGGCUCACUGGCCCGGUA
This 219-nucleotide ribosomal RNA is filed under the name uncultured bacterium. Its description in RNAcentral is "partial 16S ribosomal RNA". It matches the Rfam family "Bacterial small subunit ribosomal RNA", at positions 524 to 739 of the family's 1533-position model. The record is from RNAcentral.